Molecule: ribosomal RNA, 200 nt
Filed under: uncultured bacterium
Lineage: Bacteria
Description: partial 16S ribosomal RNA
Rfam family: Bacterial small subunit ribosomal RNA
Source: RNAcentral
AACGAACGCUGGCGGCAGGCCUAACACAUGCAAGUCGAACGCUCGUAGCAAUACGGGAGUGGCGCACGGGUGAGUAACGCGUGGGCACCUGCCCGGUGGUCCGGAAUAACCGCGGGAAACUGCGGCUAAUACCGAAUACGCCCUUAGGGGGAAAGAUUUAUCGCCAUCGGAUGGGCCCGCGUAGGGUUAGCUAGUUGGUG